RNAcentral lists this ribosomal RNA (484 nucleotides) under uncultured bacterium. RNAcentral describes it as "partial 16S ribosomal RNA". It matches the Rfam family "Bacterial small subunit ribosomal RNA", at positions 30 to 507 of the family's 1533-position model. The record is from RNAcentral.
AUUGAACGCUGGCAGCAUGCCUAACACAUGCAAGUCGACCGGAAGUACGGUGCUUGCUCCUGGCUUCUGCGUCACGCGGGUGAAUCUUGCCUAACAAUCUGGCUCAACAUUUGGAAUCAAGUCCUAAAACGGGCGCUUAUACUUCAAUCGCCCCGAGUGAGUAUGUGAGGGAUCUUCGGACCUCACGCUCUUUGCUUACCCUUGGCCGGAUUGGCUAGUUGGUGGGGUAAAGGCCUACCAAGGCGACGAUCCGUAACUGGUCUGAGAGGAUGAUCAGUCACACUGGAACUGAGACACGGUCCAGACUCCUACGGGAGGCAGCAGUGGGGAAUAUUGGACAAUGGGCGAAAGCCUGAUCCAGCCAUGCCGCGUGUGUGAAGAAGGUCUUCGGAUUGUAAAGCACUUUAAGUUGGGAGGAAGGGCAGUAAGUUAAUACCUUGCUGUUUUGACGGUACCAACAGAAUAAGCACCGGCUAACUUCGUG